Molecule: ribosomal RNA, 465 nt
Filed under: Vreelandella stevensii
Lineage: Bacteria; Pseudomonadati; Pseudomonadota; Gammaproteobacteria; Oceanospirillales; Halomonadaceae
Description: partial 16S ribosomal RNA
Rfam family: Bacterial small subunit ribosomal RNA
Source: RNAcentral
CCUACGGGGGGCUGCAGUGGGGAAUAUUGGACAAUGGGGGCAACCCUGAUCCAGCCAUGCCGCGUGUGUGAAGAAGGCCCUCGGGUUGUAAAGCACUUUCAGUGAGGAAGAACGCCUGGUGGUUAAUACCCAUCAGGAAAGACAUCACUCACAGAAGAAGCACCGGCUAACUCCGUGCCAGCAGCCGCGGUAAUACGGAGGGUGCGAGCGUUAAUCGGAAUUACUGGGCGUAAAGCGCGCGUAGGUGGCUUGAUAAGCCGGUUGUGAAAGCCCCGGGCUCAACCUGGGAACGGCAUCCGGAACUGUCAAGCUAGAGUGCAGGAGAGGAAGGUAGAAUUCCCGGGGUAGCGGUGAAAUGCGUAGAGAUCGGGAGGAAUACCAGUGGCGAAGGCGGCCUUCUGGACUGACACUGACACUGAGGUGCGAAAGCGUGGGUAGCAAACAGGAUUAGAUACCCCAGUAGUC